Microvirga vignae is the source of this 108-nucleotide regulatory RNA element. It matches the Rfam family "TPP riboswitch aptamer (THI element)". Rfam says of the family: Vitamin B(1) in its active form thiamin pyrophosphate (TPP) is an essential coenzyme that is synthesised by coupling of pyrimidine and thiazole moieties in bacteria. NCBI's taxonomy places the organism in Bacteria, Pseudomonadati, Pseudomonadota, Alphaproteobacteria, Hyphomicrobiales, Methylobacteriaceae. The record is from Rfam.
CCUCGUUCCGAGGGGAGCCCUGUGAGGGGCUGAGAGUCGGCUGAUCCGCCGUGACCCUUGAACCUGAUCCGGGUCAUACCGGCGGAGGGACUGGAACUAUCGAGCACG